GACGAACGCUGGCGGCGUGCUUAACACAUGCAAGUCGAACGGAAAGGCCCUGCUUUUGUGGGGUGCUCGAGUGGCGAACGGGUGAGUAACACGUGAGUAACCUGCCCUUGACUUUGGGAUAACUUCAGGAAACUGGGGCUAAUACCGGAUAGGAGCUCCUGCUGCAUGGUGGGGGUUGGAAAGUUUCGGCGGUUGGGGAUGGACUCGCGGCUUAUCAGCUUGUUGGUGGGGUAGUGGCUUACCAAGGCUUUGACGGGUAGCCGGCCUGAGAGGGUGACCGGCCACAUUGGGACUGAAACACGGCCCAGACUCCUACGGGAGGCAGCAGUGGGGAAUAUUGCACAAUGGGCGGAAGCCUGAUGCAGCAACGCCGCGUGCGGGAUGACGGCCUUCGGGUUGUAAACCGCUUUCGCCUGUGACGAAGCGUGAGUGACGGUAAUGGGUAAAGAAGCACCGGCUAACUACGUG
Molecule: ribosomal RNA, 468 nt
Filed under: uncultured bacterium
Lineage: Bacteria
Description: partial 16S ribosomal RNA
Rfam family: Bacterial small subunit ribosomal RNA
Source: RNAcentral